AGCAGCCGCGGUAAUUCCAGCUCCAAUAGCGUAUAUUAAAGUUGUUGCAGUUAAAAAGCUCGUAGUUGAAUUUCGGGGUUAGUAGGUUGGUCAUGCCUCUGGUAUGUACUGGUCUCACUGAUUCCUCCUUCCUGAUGAGCCGUAAUGCCAUUAAUUUGGUGUUGCGGGGAAUUUGGACUGUUACUUUGAAAAAAUUAGAGUGUUUAAAGCAAGCUAACGCUUGAAUACAUUAGCAUGGAAUAAUGAAAUAGGACGUUCGAUCCUAUUUUGUUGGUUUCUAGGAUUGACGUAAUGAUUAAUAGGGAUAGUUGGGGGCAUUAGUAUUCAAUUGUCAGAGGUGAAAUUCUUGGAUUUAUUGAAGACUAACUACUGCGAAAGCAUUUGCCAAGGAUGUUUUCAUUAAUCAAGAACGAAAGUUAGGGGAUCGAAGACGAUCAGAUACCGUCGUAGUUUUAACCAUAAACUAUGCCGACUAGGGAUCGGAUGAUGUAAUUUUUAAUGACUCAUUCGGCGCCUUACG
RNAcentral lists this ribosomal RNA (520 nucleotides) under uncultured Glomus. RNAcentral describes it as "SSU rRNA". It matches the Rfam family "Eukaryotic small subunit ribosomal RNA", at positions 569 to 1092 of the family's 1831-position model. Lineage: Eukaryota; Fungi; Glomeromycota; Glomeromycetes; Glomerales; Glomeraceae. The record is from RNAcentral.